AUACAGAGGGUGCGAGUGUUAAUCGGAAUUACUGGGCGUAAAGCGCACGUAGGUGGAUUGUUAAGUCAGAUGUGAAAGCCCCAGGCUCAACCUGGGAAUGGCAUUCGAUACUGCCUGACUAGAGUAUGAUAGAGGGAAGUGGAAUUUCCGGUGUAGCGGUGAAAUGCGUAGAUAUCGGAAGGAACACCAGUGGCGAAGGCGACUUCCUGGGCCAAUACUGACGCUAAGGUGCGAAAGCGUGGGGAGCAAACAGAAUUAGAUACCCCAGUAGUCC
This 274-nucleotide ribosomal RNA is filed under the name uncultured bacterium. RNAcentral describes it as "partial 16S ribosomal RNA". It matches the Rfam family "Bacterial small subunit ribosomal RNA", at positions 523 to 796 of the family's 1533-position model. The record is from RNAcentral.